GACGGGGGAUGCAAGUGUUAUCCGGAAUCACUGGGCGUAAAGCGUCUGCAGGUGGUUUCCUAAGUCCACUGUUAAACCUUGAGGCUCAACCUCAAAUCUGCAUUGGAAACUAGGAGACUUGAGUAUAGUAGGGGUAGAGGGAAUUUCCAGUGGAGCGGUGAAAUGCGUAGAUAUCUGGAGGAACACCGGUGGCGAAGGCGGCAUCCUGGACCGAUACUGACGCUGAGGAGCGAAAGCCAGGGGAGCAAACGGG
RNAcentral lists this ribosomal RNA (253 nucleotides) under uncultured bacterium. RNAcentral describes it as "partial 16S ribosomal RNA". It matches the Rfam family "Bacterial small subunit ribosomal RNA", at positions 524 to 776 of the family's 1533-position model. The record is from RNAcentral.